This 76-nucleotide transfer RNA is filed under the name Citrobacter amalonaticus. RNAcentral describes it as "tRNA-Lys". It matches the Rfam family "tRNA". Rfam says of the family: Transfer RNA (tRNA) molecules are approximately 80 nucleotides in length. The record is from RNAcentral. Lineage: Bacteria; Pseudomonadati; Pseudomonadota; Gammaproteobacteria; Enterobacterales; Enterobacteriaceae.
GGGUCGUUAGCUCAGUUGGUAGAGCAGUUGACUUUUAAUCUAUUGGUCGCAGGUUCGAAUCCUGCACGACCCACCA